GCUCGCCGCCGCCCAGCUCCCGGGGCUUCCUUCGCCGGCCGGAGGCUUUGGGCUGCGCUGUGAAGCUGCUUCCGAAGGCGCCGGUGGGUAGGGCUGUGCUCUGUAAGCCUCACGAGACCGCUGGAGGAGUACCGACCACUGAAUUUUGUGCGGCUGCUUCCGUGUCCGCGAUGGCUAACCUCAGUGGUUUUCAGCACAGGUUUGGAAAGUUGGAUCUGUGACCUUUCCUGGUUUCCUGUGACAGCAGAAAGCAACCCAAAGAGAAUGGAGAUGAAGAAAAAAGUGGGUUUACCUACCAAUCUGCCUUCUAGGAUCAUAACACUGGAAAAUUGGAGCUUCAUGUGAACAAUUAUCUCCUAGCAGAAGAAAGCUUUUCACAUCUCAUCUGAUUAAUCCUGAAAUAUAUUAGGUUCGGAUCCUGGGCGAGGACCUACUCACCACUCAUCAGGCCAUGCUGAGGCAGGAUCGCACAUAGAAGAACCAGAAGGACCUACAACUAGGAUAUACAACUAUGCACUGGGGCUUUGGGGAGAAAGAAGAAAAAAGAGGAAGACUGGCAACAGAUCUUGUUAGCUCAGGACCAAUAUUCCAAAAAAAAAACAAAAAAAAAAGGGAAUGAAAUGUACUACCUUUCAUUUUUUUUUUUUUUUUACAUUAUAUAAGUUCAAGUAUACAUCAUUAUAUUUCGAUUUCUGGAUAGACUACAUCAUGUUCACUACCCAAAGUCUAAUUGCCAUCCGUUAUUGUACACAUGUGCCCUUUUAUGCCUUUCACCCCGCUUUUUAAGAGUGAUCUAUUUGCAUACUGAAAAACCCAUAUCACACUGAUGGUAAUUCUAAAAUAAAA
This is a long non-coding RNA of Diceros bicornis minor, 846 nucleotides long. RefSeq lists it as uncharacterized. NCBI's taxonomy places the organism in Eukaryota, Metazoa, Chordata, Mammalia, Perissodactyla, Rhinocerotidae. The record is from RefSeq and is a predicted model, not a curated record. The transcript has 4 exons.